GAUGAACGCUGGCGGCGUGCCUAAUACAUGCAAGUCGAGCGAACAGAUGAGGAUCUUGCUCCUCUUACGUUAGCGGCGGACGGGUGAGUAACUCGUGGAUAACCUACCUUUAAGCCUGGGAUCACUUCGGGAAACCGGAGCUAAUACCGGAUAAUAUAUUGAACCGCAUGGUUCUAUAGUUAAAGACGGUUUUGCUGUCACUUAUAGAUGGAUCCGCGCCGCAUUAGCUAGUUGGUAAGGUAACGGCUUACCAAGGCGACGAUGCGUAGCCGACCUGAGAGGGUGAUCGGCCACACGGGAACUGAGACACGGUCCAGACUCCUACGGGAGGCAGCAGUAGGGAAUCUGCCGCAAGGGGCGAAAGCAUGACGGAGCAACGCCGCGUGAGUGAUGAAGGUCUUCGGAUCGUAAAACUCUGUUAUUAGGGAAGAACAAAUGUGUAAGUAACUAUGCACGUAGUGACGGUAACUAAUCAGAAAGCCACGGCUAACUACGUG
Molecule: ribosomal RNA, 497 nt
Filed under: uncultured bacterium
Lineage: Bacteria
Description: partial 16S ribosomal RNA
Rfam family: Bacterial small subunit ribosomal RNA
Source: RNAcentral